Molecule: long non-coding RNA, 245 nt
Filed under: Chinchilla lanigera (long-tailed chinchilla)
Lineage: Eukaryota; Metazoa; Chordata; Mammalia; Rodentia; Chinchillidae
Description: lncRNA (ENSCLAG00000026599.1)
Source: RNAcentral
UUUUGUGUCUUUAUACUAGAUUUGCAAUCACUGUUGGUCAUCCAGGUGGAGUUAUCAAGGAGGCAGUUCAAAGUAUGGGUGCACGGAGAUCUAAUUUGGAGAUACAAUAGAGAUGGACAUAUACGCAUGAAUACGGGAAAAUGAGAAUAAAACUGAACAGCGGGUUUGAAGGCAUAUCACAUCUUGUGAGGAGUUGGGCAGAUGUUAAAAGUCCUCAUAGAGCAUGCAUGAAUCACCUGACAUAA